RNAcentral lists this ribosomal RNA (471 nucleotides) under uncultured bacterium. RNAcentral's name for it is "SSU rRNA". It matches the Rfam family "Bacterial small subunit ribosomal RNA", at positions 26 to 518 of the family's 1533-position model. The record is from RNAcentral.
AGGACGAACGCUGGCGGCGUGCUUAACACAUGCAAGUGGAGCGACGAACCAGGGCUUGCCCUGGGGCAGAGCCGCGAACGGGUGAGUAACACGUGGGUUACCUGCCUCGAUGACCGGGACAACCCGAGGAAACUCGGGCUAAUACCGGAUGUGCCCGCAAGGGGAAAGGAAGCUUCGGCCUCCGCAUUGAGAUGGGCCCGCGGCCCAUUAGCUUGUUGGUGAGGUAACGGCUCACCAAGGCUUCGAUGGGUAGCUGGUCUGAGAGGACGAUCAGCCACACUGGGACUGAGACACGGCCCAGACUCCUACGGGAGGCAGCAGUGGGGAAUCUUGCGCAAUGCGCGAAAGCGUGACGCAGCGACGCCGCGUGGGGGAUGAAGGCCUUCGGGUUGUAAACCCUUUCAGCAGGGACGAAGCGAAAGUGACGGUACCUGCAGAAGAAGCGCCGGCUAACUACGUGCCAGCAGCCGC